CUUUGCUGUUGUAAGAGCGGUACUGCUGGCGGAGCACUGACAACAGUAUCAGAAACCAAAGCGGAGGAAGACUGCAGACGUGCGCAACCCUCCAAGCCAAUGAGCUUUGCCAAGCAGUAGGGAAUGUGCUAAGGUCACCCUUCACCCCAACCUCUGUGUGAAGGAAAGAAGGCAUUGCAUUCUCAUAUUGAGGAGCUUCUCAGAAAUGGAUCUCCCCUCUGCUCACCUCAGGCGCUACACUAAGUAGG
Molecule: long non-coding RNA, 248 nt
Organism: Microtus oregoni (creeping vole)
Lineage: Eukaryota; Metazoa; Chordata; Mammalia; Rodentia; Cricetidae
Exons: 3
Source: RefSeq, a predicted model, not a curated record